RNAcentral lists this ribosomal RNA (841 nucleotides) under Bacillus sp. (in: firmicutes). Its description in RNAcentral is "bacterial SSU rRNA". It matches the Rfam family "Bacterial small subunit ribosomal RNA", at positions 384 to 1217 of the family's 1533-position model. Lineage: Bacteria; Bacillati; Bacillota; Bacilli; Caryophanales; Bacillaceae. The record is from RNAcentral.
UGACGGAGCAACGCCGCGUGAGUGAUGAAGGUUUUCGGAUCGUAAAGCUCUGUUGUUAGGGAAGAACAAGUGCCGUUCAAAUAGGGCGGCACCUUGACGGUACCUAACCAGAAAGCCACGGCUAACUACGUGCCAGCAGCCGCGGUAAUACGUAGGUGGCAAGCGUUGUCCGGAAUUAUUGGGCGUAAAGGGCUCGCAGGCGGUUUCUUAAGUCUGAUGUGAAAGCCCCCGGCUCAACCGGGGAGGGUCAUUGGAAACUGGGGAACUUGAGUGCAGAAGAGGAGAGUGGAAUUCCACGUGUAGCGGUGAAAUGCGUAGAGAUGUGGAGGAACACCAGUGGCGAAGGCGACUCUCUGGUCUGUAACUGACGCUGAGGAGCGAAAGCGUGGGGAGCGAACAGGAUUAGAUACCCUGGUAGUCCACGCCGUAAACGAUGAGUGCUAAGUGUUAGGGGGUUUCCGCCCCUUAGUGCUGCAGCUAACGCAUUAAGCACUCCGCCUGGGGAGUACGGUCGCAAGACUGAAACUCAAAGGAAUUGACGGGGGCCCGCACAAGCGGUGGAGCAUGUGGUUUAAUUCGAAGCAACGCGAAGAACCUUACCAGGUCUUGACAUCCUCUGACAAUCCUAGAGAUAGGACGUCCCCUUCGGGGGCAGAGUGACAGGUGGUGCAUGGUUGUCGUCAGCUCGUGUCGUGAGAUGUUGGGUUAAGUCCCGCAACGAGCGCAACCCUUGAUCUUAGUUGCCAGCAUUCAGUUGGGCACUCUAAGGUGACUGCCGGUGACAAACCGGAGGAAGGUGGGGAUGACGUCAAAUCAUCAUGCCCCUUAUGACCUGGGCUAC